Molecule: ribosomal RNA, 1016 nt
Filed under: Tetranephris brasiliensis
Lineage: Eukaryota; Viridiplantae; Chlorophyta; Chlorophyceae; Sphaeropleales; Scenedesmaceae
Description: partial 18S ribosomal RNA
Rfam family: Eukaryotic small subunit ribosomal RNA (bases 1-808)
Source: RNAcentral
GGCUCAUUAAAUCAGUUAUAGUUUAUUUGAUGGUACUUUUACACGGAUAACCGUGAGAAAAUCAGAGCUAAUACGUGCGCAAAUCCCGACUUCUGGAAGGGACGUAUUUAUUAGAUAAAAGGCCGACCGGGCUUUGCAGACCGGCGGGGAAUCAUGAUAACUUAACGAAUCGCAUAGCCUCGGGCUGGCGAUGUUUCAUUCAAAUUUCUGCCCAAUCAACUUUCGAUGGUAGGUUAGAGGCCUACCAUGUGGUAAACGGUUGACGAAGGAUUAGGGUUCGAUUCCGGGAGAGGGGAGCCUGAAAAAACGGCUACCCACAUCCAAGGAAGGCAGCGGGGCGCGCAAAUUACCCAAUCCUGAUACGGGGGGGGUAGUGACAAUAAAAUAAAAAAUACCGGGCAUUUCAUGUCUGGUAAUUGGAAUGAGUACAAUCUAAAUCCCUUAACGGGGAUCCAUUGGGGGGGCAAGUCUGGGGGCCAGCAGCCCGCGGUAAUUCCAGCUCCAAUAGCGUAUUUUUUAAGUUUGUUGCAGUUAAAAAAGCUCGAAGUUGGGAUUUUCGGGGGGGGUUCCAGGCGGCCCGCGCCUUAUGGGGGAGUACUUGCUGGUGGCCCUCUCCUUUCUCUGCUGGGGAACGGGUCUCCUUGGGCUCACACUUGUCCGGGGACUUCGGGUCUCGCGCGAUUGAUAACUUUGAGAGUAAAUAAGAAGGUGUUCCAAAGGCAGGCCUUACGCUCCUUGAAUAACUUUAAGCAUGGGAAAUAUCCGGCGGAAUAAGGAACUUCUGGGCCUUAUCCUCGUUUGGUCCUUGUAGGACCCGGGAGUAAAUUGAUUUAAGGAAGGGACAGUCCGGGGGGCCAUUUCGGUAAUUUUCAAUUUGUCAGGAGGUUGAAAAUUCUUUGGGAAUUUAUUGAAAAGAACGGAACCUAACUUGCCGAAACGCAUUUUGGCCAAAGGGAUUGUUUUUCAUUAAUAUUCAAGAACGAAUGAGACCCGCCGCCCACAACAAAACAAAAAAA